This 468-nucleotide ribosomal RNA is filed under the name uncultured bacterium. Its description in RNAcentral is "partial 16S ribosomal RNA". It matches the Rfam family "Bacterial small subunit ribosomal RNA", at positions 28 to 507 of the family's 1533-position model. The record is from RNAcentral.
GACGAACGCUGGCGGCGUGCUUAACACAUGCAAGUCGAACGGAAAGGCCCUGCUUUUGUGGGGUGCUCGAGUGGCGAACGGGUGAGUAACACGUGAGUAACCUGCCCUUGACUUUGGGAUAACUUCAGGAAACUGGGGCUAAUACCGGAUAGGAGCUCCUGCUGCAUGGUGGGGGUUGGAAAGUUUCGGCGGUUGGGGAUGGACUCGCGGCUUAUCAGCUUGUUGGUGGGGUAGUGGCUUACCAAGGCUUUGACGGGUAGCCGGCCUGGGAGGGUGACCGGCCACAUUGGGACUGCGGUACGGCCCAGACGCCAACGGGAGGCAACAGUGGGGAAUAUUGCACAAUGGGCGGAAGCCUGAUGCAGCAACGCCGCGGGCGGGAUGACGGCCUUCGGGUUGUAAACCGCUUUCGCCUGUGACGAAGCGUGAGUGACGGUAAUGGGUAAAGAAGCACCGGCUAACUACGUG